RNAcentral lists this ribosomal RNA (252 nucleotides) under uncultured bacterium. Its description in RNAcentral is "partial 16S ribosomal RNA". It matches the Rfam family "Bacterial small subunit ribosomal RNA", at positions 524 to 776 of the family's 1533-position model. The record is from RNAcentral.
UACAGAGGGUGCAAGCGUUGUUCGGAAUUAUUGGGCGUAAAGCGCGUGUAGGCGGCUUUGCAAGUCGGGUGUGAAAGCCCUCGGCUCAACCGAGGAAGUGCGCCCGAAACUGCAGAGCUUGAGUGCCGGAGAGGAUGGCGGAAUUCCCCAAGUAGAGGUGAAAUUCGUAGAUAUCGGGAGGAACACCGGUGGCGAAGGCGGCGACCUGGGUAGAUACGUGACGCUGAGGCGCGAAAGCGUGGGAGCAACAGG